This 255-nucleotide ribosomal RNA is filed under the name Escherichia coli. RNAcentral describes it as "partial 23S ribosomal RNA". It matches the Rfam family "Bacterial large subunit ribosomal RNA", at positions 2102 to 2356 of the family's 2925-position model. The record is from RNAcentral. Lineage: Bacteria; Pseudomonadati; Pseudomonadota; Gammaproteobacteria; Enterobacterales; Enterobacteriaceae.
UACUAUAGCUUGACACUGAACAUUGAGCCUUGAUGUGUAGGAUAGGUGGGAGGCUUUGAAGUGUGGACGCCAGUCUGCAUGGAGCCGACCUUGAAAUACCACCCUUUAAUGUUUGAUGUUCUAACGUUGACCCGUGAUCCGGGUUGCGGACAGUGUCUGGUGGGUAGUUUGACUGGGGCGGUCUCCUCCUAAAGAGUAACGGAGGAGCACGAAGGUUGGCUAAUCCUGGUCGGACAUCAGGAGGUUAGUGCAAUG